CCUACGGGAGGCAGCAGUGGGGAAUUUUGGACAAUGGGCGAAAGCCUGAUCCAGCCAUUCCGCGUGCAGGAUGAAGGCCCUCGGGUUGUAAACUGCUUUUGUACAGAACGAAAAGGUUUCUACUAAUACUAGGAGCUCAUGACGGUACUGUAAGAAUAAGCACCGGCUAACUACGUGCCAGCAGCCGCGGUAAUACGUAGGGUGCAAGCGUUAAUCGGAAUUACUGGGCGUAAAGCGUGCGCAGGCGGUUAUAUAAGUCAGAUGUGAAAUCCCCGGGCUCAACCUGGGAACUGCAUUUGAGACUGUAUAGCUAGAGUGCGGUAGAGGGGGAUGGAAUUCCGCGUGUAGCAGUGAAAUGCGUAGAUAUGCGGAGGAACACCGAUGGCGAAGGCAAUCCCCUGGACCUGUACUGACGCUCAUGCACGAAAGCGUGGGGAGCAAACAGGAUUAGAUACCCUGGUAGUCCACGCCCUAAACGAUGUCAACUGGUUGUUGGGUCUUAACUGACUCAGUAACGAAGCUAACGCGUGAAGUUGACCGCCGUGGGAGGUACGGCCGCGAGGUUAGUAAACGUUAAAGUUAGUAAGUUAGUACGGACGUGAGACGUAGACCGACGGACGACGACGAGGGAGGAGG
This 636-nucleotide ribosomal RNA is filed under the name uncultured bacterium. Its description in RNAcentral is "bacterial SSU rRNA". The stretch from base 1 to 542 matches the Rfam family "Bacterial small subunit ribosomal RNA", at positions 338 to 873 of the family's 1533-position model. The record is from RNAcentral.